Schistosoma mattheei is the source of this 45-nucleotide non-coding RNA. NCBI's taxonomy places the organism in Eukaryota, Metazoa, Platyhelminthes, Trematoda, Strigeidida, Schistosomatidae. The record is from Rfam.
AUCGAGCUGAUGAGUUCCAAAUACUACGAAACACGUGUCCUGGAU